Long non-coding RNA from Rhopalosiphum padi (bird cherry-oat aphid), 2808 nucleotides. RefSeq lists it as uncharacterized. Lineage: Eukaryota; Metazoa; Arthropoda; Insecta; Hemiptera; Aphididae. The record is from RefSeq and is a predicted model, not a curated record. The transcript is spliced from 4 exons.
GCCCUGUGAAACGACCAGCAUUCACAUUCACUGUCUUUCCUCCGUCGUAGCAAGACCCACCCGGGCAGACUUGCGCGAUUAAGGAAGGCAUCUGAUGUCUAUAUUUUUUGUCAGAUAUUUUUUGAUUUUAAGCAUUAUAUCGCUUUUACUCAAAUUAUUAAAUAGUGAUUUUAUUCAUACCUAUUCGUAGCUCUAACAUUUCCUUACCCCAAGCUCUAGUAUGCACAAACAAAAUUCGACGUUGGCUUUGUUCCGUGGCUUAUAUAAGUCUGGCACAGUUCGGGCGCAAGACUGCCAGUGUUUGCGAGUUGCGGUUGCGGGAACACUGAUCGUUCACGAUUUUAAGACUAUUUCAGAGUGUUACUUCGUUCAUUUUUUUUUUCGCACAUAGGAUCUUCAACCCCGGGCGGCGGGCUGUACUGUAUAUCGUACAAGUAUUUCUCGACGAUGUUUGUGUCGCACAGUGUGUUGAUGAGUUAAUAACAAUGUACAUUUGACUAUUUGCGGUUGCGGGAACACUGAUCAUCACGUCUGUAUUAAAUAUUUGUGUAUUUUAUUUAUUUUUUUAUAUUCCCGUAUCACGCGAUCAACAGUCGUUUGUAGGAAUACAUUAUUCGUGAGUGUUCCACUAAGUUUCCCAAAUAUAUCCUACAAUCUGUGAAACAUUAUCGACAGUCGUCAUAGAGUCUUUUAGGACAGCAGGAAAGCGUUUGGUUUUCAAUUGUUUGGGGCAGAUUUCAUGUUAACAGAAAAUUUAGAACCAUGGUUAAUAGAAAUUAAUAGUAGUCCUGGCUUGAAUCCAACUACGAGUAUCAUUGCAAGAAUUGCAUCGGCGUUAUUAACAGAUAUCAUCAAAGUUACGGUGGAUUUCCCACUUAAUUCAAAUGCAGAUACUGGACUUUUCGAGAACAUUUACACUGACUAACUUGUGAAACAUUGUAACACGGAGAAAAACAUUACAAAAGAAUAUUAUUACCACCAGUCGCCCCAAAAAACAAAACAAUUAAAUAAACAAAGCCACAAAGACACUGAACAGAAGAAAAAGAAAAUUGCGAGAUAAAUACUUUAAUAUGUAGGUAAGAGAUUAUCGAUUUAUUUAAAUUUUAAAAUGUCAUUUUCGGAAUAUAGAAUUUUGUAAAUACUCAAAAAAAUUUCUCCUGUGAAGCGGUCAAUUAUGGUCAUGUAUUUUAACUCAUCACGGAAAUUAAUAUUUAAAAACCCCAGUGAAAUAAUAAAAAGUAAUUGAAUUUGACGUUCUUAAAGUCUUACUUUAGACGUAUAGCACUAUGUAUAUAUAUUUAACAUAAUGUAUUAAUACAUAAAGCGACUAGCAAGCUGACUCCUCCGUAGUAUAGUGGUAAGUAUCCCCGCCUGUCACGCGGGAGACCGGUGUUCGAUUCCCCGCCGGGGAGCCAUUUGACGCAUCAAAUUUACGCGUCAUUUUUGCGGUCAUAGGAGAGAUAUCGAGAAUUAAGUUGAAAAAAUUACGCACGGUACGGCAUUUGAACCCGCGACCCACGAGACUGGGGUGACAAUCUCGUAACAAUGAGCCACCGCGGUCUUAUCAACUUAACCUCGAUAUUCUCCUAUAUCUGGGCCUGAGUGGCAGUGUGUACGGCUGAGGAGAAGCGCAGGCGCUAGGGCCAUGUCAAAGCCGCGAGGUACAUAAAUAUAAGGUUAUUGUGUUGAAUUUUAUUUAUUAUCCUAGUUUUAUGCAUUUGAUUUUGUAAAACCAAAAAAGAAAAGCUAAAAGCAUACACGGGGUGAUUCUUUUACCAUGAACCAUUCAUUAUUUCAAAAAGUAUUCAUGUUUUUGAAAACAUUUUUUUACAUAGUUUCAAGUUGUUAAAAAUUCAACGUUUUUAUUAAAAAAUUAUAUUUUUAAAUAUUUUUUAUCCUUAUAUUUUUUUAAUUUUUUUACUUUUUUGGAUGACAAAAUAGAGUUUUAAUUUCAUAUUCUAAAGUAAAAUAAUUUUUUGAUUAGUAUUUUGAUACAUAUAAAUUGAAUUUAAAGUUUAGACAAACUGAGUAGUGGACUCCACUCCGCACAUCUAAACGUUGAAUACUUAUAACUAACUCAUAAACUACUUGCCCCAAAUUCGAUUUUUAUGUAUUAAAAUACUCAAAACAUUGUUCUGCUUUGGAAUAUGAAAUUAAAACUACGAAGUCAUUCAAAAAAGUAUGAAAACUUAAAAAAAAUAAGGAUAAAAAAUAUUUAAAAACAUAUUUUUUUAAAUAAAACGUUGAUUUUUUUAACAACUUGAAACAAUGUAAAAAAAUAUUUUCAAAAACAUGAGUACUUUUGAAAUAAUGAGCGGUUCAUGAUAAAAAAAAUCGCCCUGUAUAUGCUUUUAGUUUGUCUUUUUUGGUUUUACAAAAUCAAAUGCAUAAAACUAAAAUAUAGUAAAUAAAAUUCAACACAAUAACCUUAUAUUUAUGUACCUCGCGGCUUGCUAGUCGCUUUAUGUAUUAAUAUAUUAUGUUAUAUAGUUACAUAGUGCUAUACGUCUAGGUGAGAUCUUAAGAACGUUUAUUCAAUUACUUUUUAUUAUUUCGCUGAGGUUUUAAAAUAUUAACUUACCGUGAUGAGUUAAAAUACAUGACCAUAAUUGACCGCUUUACAGGAGAAAUUUUUUUGAGUAUUUACAAAAUUCUAUAUUUCAAAAAUGACCUUUGAAUAACAUUCUAAAUUUGAAUAAAUCAAUAAUCUCUUACACGAAAUAAUACUGCACAUAUGUAUAUAAAUCUAGUAUAAUAUAAUUAUUAGGACUAAGAUUGAAAUAUAAUGAAAAAUUGUACCUGAGACAU